GGAACGAACGCUGGCGGCAUGCCUAAUACAUGCAAGUCGAACGAACACUUCGGUGUUAGUGGCGCACGGGUGCGUAACGCGUGGGAAUCUGCCCUUGGGUUCGGAAUAACAGUUGGAAACGACUGCUAAUACCGGAUGAUAUCGAAAGAUCAAAGAUUUAUCGCCCAGGGAUGAGCCCGCGUAGGAUUAGCUAGUUGGUGAGGUAAAGGCUCACCAAGGCGACGAUCCUUAGCUGGUCUGAGAGGAUGAUCAGCCACACUGGGACUGAGACACGGCCCAGACUCCUACGGGAGGCAGCAGUAGGGAAUAUUGGACAAUGGGCGCAAGCCUGAUCCAGCCAUACCGCGUGGGUGAAGAAGG
This 360-nucleotide ribosomal RNA is filed under the name uncultured soil bacterium. RNAcentral describes it as "bacterial SSU rRNA". It matches the Rfam family "Bacterial small subunit ribosomal RNA", at positions 27 to 414 of the family's 1533-position model. The record is from RNAcentral.